RNAcentral lists this long non-coding RNA (7941 nucleotides) under Sus scrofa (pig). RNAcentral describes it as "lncRNA (ENSSSCG00015023439.1)". Lineage: Eukaryota; Metazoa; Chordata; Mammalia; Artiodactyla; Suidae. The record is from RNAcentral.
GGUAUGCGAAGAGAUAAUUAUAGUACAGUAUUUACACGCUGUGCGUAAGAGCCAGCCGUAAGCAUAGCAUAGCAGCGGAAGUGAUUGUCUGGGGAAGAGAGCUAAGAAGGCUGAAGAAAAGGAGAUUUAUUGAUCUUUGAGUUAAAAUUUGAAGGAUGAGGUGUGAGUUGACAAGUUGAGUGUAUGAUGGAGGAAAGGAUUUCAUUGCAGAUAAAUGGAGGGGCUGCGGGUCGUGUAGAAUGACAGGGAACGAAGGUAAAGAGGAGAGAAGAUGGGUCGGUGAGGCUGGAGAAGAGUCGGGGGCCAGGUCCUAAAAGAUGAGGGCUUUGAAGGCUGCGUAAGCAGUGCCAAGGACGUCGAUGGAUCUCACUCUUGAGGCCGCAUGGAUCCAUUGAAGGAUUUUAAGCAGAGCUGCAACAUGAUUGAAUUUUUAUUUUCCAAGGAUUCCUCUGGUGGCCGUACGUACAGUGAGUGGACUGGAGCAAGAGAGAGACCAUUUAGCAGACUAUUGACUAGUUUUCUUGAAGCAACCAACGGCCUUGUCUGCCGCAAAGAGCAUGACCUAGAUUCACUGUUCACGUUCCGGUUCAGCUGCUACUCUCUAAACUAACCCGGAAAUUACUUACAUUGAAUGAUAGUCAUCUCGCACUGGAUAUUGUGGAAAAUCAUAUCUACACAUAGACUUGCUCUAGAGAGCGGAGUAGUGGUACCUGUUACAUUUCAGCUUCUGUUGUGGUUGCGUUUGAGGUUACGUUCAGCCAAGUGUAGGAUUUUCAAGAAGUACUUCCACUUUACUUCUACCGCGCUGUCCCAGUAAAACAGAAGGAAAUCAGAACGUUUACAAGCAUUUGAUAGUCACAUUAAGCUCCACAUUUCAGGACUUUCCAAACACUUUAAAAGACAGCAAAACUAAGGCUGUUGCAUUUGGAAGCCCUGCCAGACUCUCCAUUGGAGAUUCAGGCUUCGUGUCCUUGCUGGGAAUAGACUGGAGCCCUAGCUCAGCAGGUGAGCUGUUUAGCUGGAAGGAGCAUCGGCAUUUACUCUGCCCUUGGGCCUUCAAGGGGUUAGUGAGAGGGAUGUGACUCGGUGUCCCUGCCACCUCGCAUCUCGGCUCUGAGGACCCCGUCCCUGUCUGGAGCAGACACUGGCUGCGUUACCACUGCAGGCGCCGCCACAGGACGUAGGUUUCGGUCAGGUCGGCAUUGUGACUUCACGGGCUGACGGUGCCGAGAGAAUUGUAGGAGGUACGUACAAAAUAGGAGUUCCCGUCGCGGUGCAGCGGAAAUGAAUGCCGCUGGGAACCCUGAGGUUGUGGGUCUGAUCCCAGGCUUGCUCCUCGGGUCAAGGAUCCGGCGUUGCUGUGGCUGUGGUGUAGGCGGUGGCUACGGCUCUGAGUAGACCCCGAGCCUGGGAACCUCCACGUGCCGUGGGUGCGGCCCUGAAGAGACAAAACGCCAAAAAACAACGAUGCGCACAAAAUAACCGUAAUACAAAUAAGAUAAGCGUGAGUCAGGUAAUUUUGAAAAUUAUAAAGGACUCAAGUCAUAUUACAUAAAAUAUUAUGUUUUAUGAAGUGUAUCUCACAUGUUCUCAAUAUUUAAAGUGCUUUUCCAAGUAAAUCUGAGAUAGAGUCACUUUCCUGGAUACCUGUGGAAGAUAAAUGAUAAAGGCAUAUUCAGAUUUUAGGGCUUUAAACCUACAUGCAUUUUUUUGUUGUUGUUGUUUUGUUUUGGCUGUGCCUGCAGCAUGUGGAAGUUCCUGGAGCAGUCAUCAAACCUGAGCCACAGUAGCCAUCAGAGCCACAGCAGUGACAACACCAGAUCCUUAACCCACUAAGCCACUAGGGAACUGUGCUAACAUACAUAUUUUGACCUCAGGGUUGAUCAGGCUUAAUAUUCACUGAUCUCUAACUUGGUUAAGGUCCCUCUGAGCCUCAGAGGGGUGUGUGUGGUGUGUGGUGUGUGUGGGGGGGGUGCGUGAUGGAGAUAAUCCUGCCUUUCAGAUUUGUUGUGAUAAAAUGGUGAUUAUAUGUAAAAGCACCAAAACCAACGGUCUUUCUUUCCUGUCGUCUCUGCCUAAGCCGACCCACCUUUUCACUGUUGCCCCAUGUUGGGCCUUGAGACAUUAGAUUCUUUGGGGUAUUUUAAGGUGUUCUUUUCUUAACUUAUGAAAAAUUUUAGACAUGCAACAAAAUUAAAAGGGUUUUGCAAUGGAAAAUCUUACGUCCCCCACCUAAUUUUGCCAUUUCUUGUGGAUAUCUCCUGUCGAUUUGCCUGUUCCUUUACCCACCCAGCUCUGUGAAAAUUUCUCCGGUGAUUGUUCAAGACGUCUCUGAAAGAGGUGUUUAACUAAUUUGGAGGCCAGGAGUGCAGAUAUUUGUACGUACCUUACAUCUGACCUGUUUGCCACCGUCUGUACCGGCGGAGAACGUGGUUUCUAAGAUUGUUGGCUUCCUGGCUCUCCCGGGACUGUCUGUGCCCCCGCACUGCCAUUUCUGACCGUAACUCAUCCCGGUUGCAUUUUCCCGAGCGCACUUUCCCUUGACCUUCUGUAGUGUCAGCCUUCGAGUGGGUUCUUUAGUCCUCAUCUCUUUCUCCUUUUAAAGCAUCUUUAAAAAGUAAUUUAAAAAAUACGGCACGUCUCAUGCCUGGUGAGCAGAGUGGAGUAUCAGCGGAGGCCUUAAAAUCUCAGGUAUCUCAGUACUUUCCAUCCACUCCUGCUUCUUGUUUCUGAGCUUGGGCUCUUUCUCCAGGACAGGGGUCUGUUGCGUGCGGCAUAGGAGUAAAUGCAGUCCUUUACGUGUCUGGCUAGAGGCUCCAGCAUUGAAAGUCUUUUGCCGUCUCAGUGCAUGUCUUUUAAAGGAGUUUUAAUCAGAUGGCAUUUGCCUUUGUGUUACGAGGAUUUCCUUAACAAGCUGCGGGGACCGUAUUCUGGAAAGUUUCUGCAAAGCAGACUGUUCAUGACUGUGUCUCUCGGCUCCUUUCAGCUUCUCAUUGCCUUUAUGUGACGAUCCUCUCAGAGUUGAGAGCGACUCACGGGUACUAAAGGACACAGCUUCUUUCUGUUUCAUUUUUAGAGAAUGUUUUAACUCGUUCUCUCUCAGAAAUCAACUGUCAUGAAAGAAACAAGAAAUGGGCCAAAUUACUUGGCUCUGAAAUCCGGCUCCACCAGUUACUAGCUGUGUAGCUUCGAGUAAAUUGUAAGCCACCUCUCGGCGGUGACUCUUCCUUACCCAUGAAAUGGAGAUGAUACCAGAGCCCCCCUGAGGGAUGCGGACACUGAGCACCUUGGUGCAAGUGCAGAGCUUAGAACAGUGCUGGGCACGUGGUACGUACUUGAUGUCGAAUUGGAUCAUUCACGGUCUCUGGAUAUGGCUUCUCCGGCGAUAGCCACAUGGUUAGUGUGACUGAGUUCCUGAGUUAUAAGUUUUAUUUAAUUUUAGUUAAACUUUAAAACUCAUCCUCUCUACAGUUAUUGAAAAAUUGUAAAGUGAGUUUUGAGUAACUUUUCAACUCUUAAGUUUUGUGAAACCGAAAAACAGAUCAAGGAUUUCUGAUGAAAAUUUAGCGUAUGAAUUGAGAUAAGCUAUAAUCAUAAAUACACACCAGAUUCUGAAGACUUAAUAAAAGAAGAGUAUAAAGUAUUUCCUCUGAUUUUUGUAUCGAUUAUUGGCUGAAGUGAUAAUAUUUCAAUGUAUUAGGUUAAACAAAAUGCAUUGUUAAAAUUUUCACCUGUUCCUUUCUUUUACUUUUUAAAAUGUGACUGCUAGAAAUCUUAAGAUGACUUAAGUGUCUUGAAUUGCAUUCUGUUGGGUGAGACUUCUCUAGGCCUCGGGUUAGGGGGAAGGGCAGAGGAAUAUAGACUGGGGGAGACGCUUUUUCUAAUUAUGCAGGUAUCUGUGGAGAUUCCAGAACAUCUUUGCUCAGUGGAGCCUUUCUUCCCGUCACAUGAAUCCUGCCUCCUACCCUCUUGCUGAAAAUCCGUGCCUUUCAUGCGCCUGCUCUCACUCAUGGGAGUGUUUUGGAUGCGUCAGGUCUGCUGGGGGAAACGUUAUGGGUCACUGCUUUAGGUUAAAGAGUAUCACUCGGGCUCAGCCCCUCUCAGUGACUUCCACGACGUAAAUUUCUGGAGUUCCCUGAACUAACGUGUACCACUAAUCCUGGUAUAGUGAACCCCAGAGACUAAAGCUGAAGCAUAACUUAAGCAGAUUUUGCUUAAGGAACGAAUUGCUGGAUCAAAAGGUGAAGAAGUUGAGAAGGGCAUGUUGUGUCCUAAAAGCUAAAUUUCCAGGAUUUUUUUUUAACUCACAAAGCUAAACAACUUGAAACUUUUGUCUCUGACGUGAAACUGGGACGUAGUGUUUUGUCUUUUUCCUCAUGCCUCUUGGUUCUUUCAGAUUCUGUGGUUAUGUGCAGAGGUUUUCUGACUUGUCUAAAGAAGUGUGAGGCGUUCCCGUCGUGGCACAGUGGUUAGCAAUCCGACUAGAAACAUGAGGUUGCGGGUUCCAUCCCUGGCCCUGCUCAAUGCGUUAAGGAUCCAGCGUUGCCGUGGGCUGUGGAUCCAAGCCGCAUCUGUGACCUCCACCACAGCUCAUGGCAACGCCAGCUCCUUAACCACUGAGUGAGGCCAGGGAUUGAACCCGCAAGCUCCUGGGUCCUGGUCAGGUUUGUUAACCACUGAGCCUCAAAAGGGACUCCUUAACCAUUUCUUAAUGACUGAGAUCAUUAUGUGGUGUGUGUGUGUGUCUAUAAAAUAGUCAGAGUUCCGUGGGCUUUUAGUGGUCUAUUACUAACUCUGUUUUUCCCACAAACCCAUGUUUAGUGCAUAAUUUUCCAAGAUGUCAGGUUUUCAGGGACAUGUGUUGUAGAAAAGUCUGGAUUUCAGUCUGUGGCUCGUGAUCAAAAAGGUUUGAAAGACACUGCCCUCGAAAGCUGUUUUCUUGUGCUAAUAAUAAUUUCUUACGUUUUUGUAGUACUUGGCUGUCAAACCUCUCUCUCUGUGAUGUUGCCAAUGACAGGUAAACGAGGGAAGGAUUUGACUUCUUAUUGUUUUUAAACUGUACAGUAGGCAAGCACAAUCGAACCAAAGAAUGCAUGGGCUUUGAAAUUAGUCUUUUAAUUUUUGCCUUUCCAUUUAGUAGCCAUGUGACCAUGGAUGCCUUAAUUAAUCUUGUUUAACUUCAGAACCUUAGUUUUUUGGGGGUUUUUCCCCAAACUAAAUGGGAACUGCCAGAAUUGUCGAGUGCUUUAAAUCAAUGAAACACAGUGCCUGGUAGGGCGCCAGGGAUAAAUCUCACCACAGAAUGUUGAGUGGAAGGAAGUGGACACAAAAGGGGACAUGAGGUGUAAUUGUAGUUCUAUGUAAAGCUCAGAACAGGCCACACUAACCUGCAGUGGUGGCAGUCCAGGCAGUGCUUCCUCGGGGCGGAGUAGCGGUUGGGAGGACGCUCGAGAGUCCUUUCUGCAGUGCUGGCAAUGACCUCUCUCUUUGUCGGGAAAACACAUUAUGAACGUUUGUUGAGUUUCCUACUUAUUCUUUCUUUAGUUUGUUACCAGUAUGUUUCAAGUGGACUGCGUUGUGACUCAAUAGCUGUAUCCACUGCAAGGUGGAUGCCGUCCCCAGCCGGUUGCCACGCUUCACCCAUUUCACUCACCUUCCCACCCCUUCCCUGUGCGAGCCACUGGUCUGACCUCUGUGGUUGUGAAUUUGAAUUUGGUUUUGUUUUAUGUAGUUUGUUGUCUUUUUUUCGCUUUUUUUUUUUUUGUGUGUGGUUUUGUUUUUAGAUUCCACGUAUGCUUGAGAUUGUAUCCUACUUGUCUUUCUCUGACUUAUUCAAACUUAGCAUACUACUUUCAGGGUCCAUCUGUGUUGUCAUAAGUGGCAGGACUUCAUCUCCAUUGUGUGGGUAUAUAUAUAUAUAUGUAUAUGUAUAAUGUAUAUUAUAAUUUAACAAAAAGUUGUUUUUCAAGUACUUAGCACAGAACCAUCACAUAAUUGGUUUCCUUCUGCGGUGGUCCCAUAAGUUAACAAUGUGAGAGUCUAUAUAACAUAAUGAUCCUAGCCUCUGUCUGCUCUAAGUGUUCGGUUUCUUUGUUCAGUUAUGGCUCUGUCUCCUAACUUCGGUGGCAAACCUAGGCAUGCUUCAGGAACGUGGGCUGGUGGUGAUUCUGACCGGUGUAGUUGAGGGAGUUUGGUUUGGUCAGACAGGGUGAAAGAUGGGGUCGGACCACGGUGCUCCAGAAGUAAGUGAGGAAUAUGUGACUUUUGAUUCAACGCUGUUUCCUGAUCUUUAGGUGAUUUGGUGUUUCGCUUUUUAAGUGACAAUUAAGUGGGUAUUUUUUUCUGAUUCGUAUAAUAUUUUAUCUGGUGCAUCAAGUAUAUCAUUGAACGUUUUCAUGUUGGGAAGCUGGACUUAUUUCUGGCGUUUUUAAUACAAGCCCCUUACAGUGUAGCAGGCUUUGAAACGGCCACUCCCGCGCCCUGUAACACCUUAUAUUUUUUGCUUAGGUUCUUAUCCCUGACAGAGAACCACACUUACUAUAUUUGUAACAAAAUAGAACUUACAUACUUGGACAUUUAUGCAAGACCCUGUUAUGGAAAACUUAGAGUUGUUGACAAUUCAGUUUAUGAAGCUGAGAAUGUGACCUUUUUCUGCCAGGCAGUGUGUGGGAUAUAAAGUAAGCCUUUGACUCUCUGCCCUCGGGAAGGUGGAAUUCUGCAGGAGAGUUUGGUGAGGUAGCAGGAAGUAAAUCUGUCUGCCUUUGCUUUUGGUCUUUGGGAUGCUGGCUUUUCAGAGAAGGUUUCUGAUAGAGAUACUAGCGAGCCUCUAAGCCAGGGAGAGCUGUGGUGAUGAUUGUGUGGGUACCAAAGGAGUCAGGAGACAGAGAAUGGCCUGACUUAAUCGUGGUCAGUAAUAUGACCCAGAGUCAGGGAGGUGGCGAAGUACCUCCUGUCAGUCACUUAUUUAUGUUCAUUCAUUAAAAUGGAGAUGACAGCCAACAUUCACAAACCCUUUGGAGUAGGCAUUACUGUAUCUGUUUUAAAAGUGUAGAGAUUGAGGCUCAGAGACACUUAGUAAUUUGUUGAAGUUUAUGUGGCUAGUGGCAGAGUCGAUACUCAAAUCCAGAGCCCACCUGUACCAUGUGCCGGAUUUAGCUAGUAACACUAUCCAGGUAAAGGGCAUGCUUAUCAGGAAGAUACCUAUCUUGGAAACAUGCUAAAUGGGAGGCCAGGAAGAAAACUGAUAGCAGGUUACAUCUAGGACUACCCAGGAAAGGGAAUGCUCUGACUCAAGGACUUACUUUCUUGAGUCGCUGGGUAGCUUUGUGUGUUCCUGUUGUGAGAUGGUUGAAUGAAACUGUCAAACCCUCAUGCAGAUGCACCUGUUGCCUGUUUCUCUUUUUAUUAUAAUUGUGUUAAAUGUGUAUCACAUAAAAUUGAUCAUUUUACCCAUUUUAAGGCAUUAAGUACAAUUAUAGUAACGUGUGGCCUUUACCAGGGUCCAGCUCCAGAAUUUUUCAUCAUUUCGAAAAGGAACUCUGUAUCCAUUAAAUCGUGACUCUCCAUUCUCCUACUCCGCCCCGCCCCUGGUCUCCUCUGUUCUUACUUUCUCUGUGAAUUUCCCUAUUUUAGUUGCCACAUAGAAGUGAAACCACACAGUGGUCAUUCUUUUGUGUUUGGCUGUGUCACUUAGCAUAAUGUCUUCAAGUUCAUUGUGCUGUAGCAUGUGUCAGAACUUUAUUCCUGGAGUUAGCACUGUGGCCCCGUGGGUUAGGAAUCUGACUGCAGUGGCCAGUGGUUCGAUCCCUGGCCCAGCACAGUGGGUUGAAGGAUCUGGCAUUACUGCAGCUGUUCCUAGGUCGCAGCUGCCGUUUGAAUUCAGUCUUUGGCCUGGGAACUUCCAUGUUCCACAGGUGUGGCCAUAAAAAAAAAAAAAAAAAA